This 915-nucleotide long non-coding RNA is filed under the name Medicago truncatula (barrel medic). RNAcentral's name for it is "lncRNA gene17032". The record is from RNAcentral. Lineage: Eukaryota; Viridiplantae; Streptophyta; Magnoliopsida; Fabales; Fabaceae.
GUUUACUUUCACUACUCGGAAAAUCUGUUGCAGAUAUGUGGAGAUAGGAUUUGAGUCAGGCAUUCCAGUGACAGUGAACGGGAAGAGGCUAUCCCCAGGAAAUUUGGUUGCUGAGCUUAAUGAGAUAGGUGGAAGGCAUGGAAUAGGCUGUGUCGAUAUAGUUGAAAACCACAUUGUAGGCCUGAAGAGCCGAGGAGUUUAUGAAACUCCAGGUGGCACCAUUUUCUUCACCGCAGCAAGAGACUUAGAGAGUUUAACACUCGAUCGUGAAACACUUCAGCUUAAAGACUCGUUAGCAAUUAAGUAUGCAGAGUUAGUGUAUGCUGGAAGGUGGUUCGAUCCUCUUCGUGAGUCAAUGGAUGCAUUCAUGGAAAAGAUCUCAGAGAUUACAACAGGUUCAGUGAGUUUGAAACUGUAUAAAGGCAGUGCUUCUGUGACGGGUCGGAAGAGUCCUUCUGUUAAUUAAAAAUCUUUGUUCAUUCAAAAAGGUUGAAGCAAAAAACUCAGAACUGACUCUGUCGCUGAUGUAGUGGGAGUAUCAAAUCCUGUGAUCCCCGUCAGCUGUUGUUCUGGACUUGAGAAGCAUACUGCAAGUUCCAAAGGACAUCCUCGAUCGAAGGUCGACUCCACGACUCGGUAGAUAUACACUUGUUUGUUAUAGAAAUCACAAUAGAUAGAGAUUCUUUGCAGCAAGUAGCUUGCACAACUGGGUCCACUAUUUGUUUCCACUCAUCUUGACUACUGAAGGAAGCCUGUAAAUUGGAGUAUGCUGAAUUAACUAUCUUAGCAGGUAUAUAUAAAGCACUUAUUUAAAUGUUUGGGAACUUAUAUUAAUAAGCUUAUCAAGAUAGCUUAUGAAAACAAUUUGUAUCUUGUAUACAACAAUUUUAACCACACUCUCCGUAUGAUUAUAGA